CGAACGCUGGCGGCGCGCCUAACACAUGCAAGUCGAACGAGAGAGAGGGAGCUUGCUUCCUUGAUCGAGUGGCGAACGGGUGAGUAACGCGUGAGGAACCUGCCUCAAAGAGGGGGACAACAGUUGGAAACGACUGCUAAUACCGCAUAAGCCCACGACCCGGCAUCGGGAAGAGGGAAAAGGAGCAAUCCGCUUUGAGAUGGCCUCGCGUCCGAUUAGCUAGUUGGUGAGGUAACGGCCCACCAAGGCGACGAUCGGUAGCCGGACUGAGAGGUUGAACGGCCACAUUGGGACUGAGACACGGCCCAGACUCCUACGGGAGGCAGCAGUGGGGAAUAUUGCACAAUGGGGGAAACCCUGAUGCAGCGACGCCGCGUGGAGGAAGAAGGUCUUCGGAUUGUAAACUCCUGUUGUUGAGGAAGAUAAUGACGGUACUCAACAAGGAAGUGACGGCUAACUACGUGCCAGCAGCCGCGGUAAAACGUAGGUCACAAGCGUUGUCCGGAAUUACUGGGUGUAAAGGGAGCGCAGGCGGGAAGACAAGUUGGAAGUGAAAUCCAUGGGCUCAACCCAUGAACUGCUUUCAAAACUGUUUUUCUUGAGUAGUGCAGAGGUAGGCGGAAUUCCCGGUGUAGCGGUGGAAUGCGUAGAUAUCGGGAGGAACACCAGUGGCGAAGGCGGCCUACUGGGCACCAACUGACGCUGAGGCUCGAAAGUGUGGGUAGCAAACAGGAUUUAGAUACCCUGGUAGUCCACACUGUAAACGAUGAUUAUUAGGUGUUGGAGGAUUGACCCCUUCAGUGCCGCAGUUAACACAAUAAGUAAUCCACCUGGGGAGUACGACCGCAAGGUUGAAACUCAAAGGAAUUGACGGGGGCCCGCACAAGCAGUGGAGUAUGUGGUUUAAUUCGACGCAACGCGAAGAACCUUACCAAGUCUUGACAUCCUGCGACGGUGCUGGAAACAGUACUUUCCUUCGGGACGCAGAGACAGGUGGUGCAUGGUUGUCGUCAGCUCGUGUCGUGAGAUGUUGGGUUAAGUCCCGCAACGAGCGCAACCCUUAUGGUCAGUUACUACGCAAGAGGACUCUGGCCAGACUGCCGUUGACAAAACGGAGGAAGGUGGGGAUGACGUCAAAUCAUCAUGCCCUUUAUGACUUGGGCUACACACGUACUACAAUGGCGUUAAACAAAGAGAAGCAAGACCGCGAGGUGGAGCAAAACUCAGAAACAACGUCCCAGUUCGGACUGCAGGCUGCAACUCGCCUGCACGAAGUCGGAAUUGCUAGUAAUCGCAGAUCAGCAUGCUGCGGUGAAUACGCUCCCGGGCCUUGUACACACCGCCCGUCAAGCCAUGGGAGCCGGGGGUACCUAAGGUACGUAACCGCAAGGAUCGUCCUAGGGUA
This 1405-nucleotide ribosomal RNA is filed under the name uncultured organism. RNAcentral describes it as "SSU rRNA". It matches the Rfam family "Bacterial small subunit ribosomal RNA". The record is from RNAcentral.